UUGGCCCUGAAUCAAGGCCAGCAGUUUGCUGAAGCUGUUGGUUUCAAGCAGGAGCCUAAAGAAAUGUCUUUCUAUGGUCUGUUGGCCAUUUCAGAACUUUGGAAAUGUAAUGGUCAAUUCAUGAGAAAGAAACAUCU
Molecule: small nucleolar RNA, 137 nt
Filed under: Ailuropoda melanoleuca (giant panda)
Lineage: Eukaryota; Metazoa; Chordata; Mammalia; Carnivora; Ursidae
Source: RNAcentral